UUGUUUUCUUUGUUGUUGUUGAUUGAUUCGGAGUCAUGCUUUUUUGUUGUUAUUGUUUGAGUUUGUGCUUUGAGUUUUCUUAAAUGUUAUUUAGUUGUUGUGAAUAUUUGAGUCGGUAUAAUUGAUUCGGAGUCAUGCUUUUUUGUUGUUAUUGUUUGAGUUUGUGCUUUGAGUUUUCUUAAAUGUUAUUUAGUUGUUGUGAAUAUUUGAGUCGGUAUUAUCGAAUGAGCAAGAUGAACGGGGUAAGAUUUCAUUGUUCCUAUCUUCUUUGUUUUGUUUAUGAGCAUGGUGAUUGAGAGAGGAAGAUUGGGUCAUGUGAGAUAGAGUAAUAUUGAGAGAAAUAGCCAUGAGAAAGAGCAUAUCUCUUUUAUCAUUUUUCCUGUUACUGUUACUGAACAUGAAUGAAUGUGAAAAUUGUUAGUUCUUUUUUUUUUUUAUUUCCAACGCCAUGUGUUACUACACCACUGGCUACUUUUUAAAAUAAUAAUAAUAAUAAUAAUAGAACAUGAUGGUUUGUUUUAAG
This 523-nucleotide long non-coding RNA is filed under the name Lathyrus oleraceus (garden pea). Its description in RNAcentral is "Pisum sativum (pea) long non-coding RNA (PSAT_LNC010447)". The record is from RNAcentral. Lineage: Eukaryota; Viridiplantae; Streptophyta; Magnoliopsida; Fabales; Fabaceae.